RNAcentral lists this long non-coding RNA (277 nucleotides) under Brassica napus (rape). RNAcentral describes it as "long non-coding RNA (BNAP_LNC003720)". Lineage: Eukaryota; Viridiplantae; Streptophyta; Magnoliopsida; Brassicales; Brassicaceae. The record is from RNAcentral.
GAUAAACUUUUCCUAAAGCAUAUUAUUCUUGAGAAGCAAACCAGAGCUGCAGAAGAGCUUCAAGUCUGUUGUUUCCCAUAGCGUCGAUGGAUAGGCAUUUGUUCUUCACUUGGCGAUCAACAAAUCUGACCAGCAGUGCAGUAGGCAUGGGGUUUGAGCCAUGACGUCUUUCAUUCCUUUCCCUCCAGAGAGUGUGAAUGGUUGCUUGGAAAACAAAUCACACCAGAAAUCUGACCCUGCAAUCGAGAGUGUUGUUGACUAGCAAAAGAAUCAAACU